RNAcentral lists this long non-coding RNA (345 nucleotides) under Physcomitrium patens. RNAcentral describes it as "long non-coding RNA (PPAT_LNC008579)". Lineage: Eukaryota; Viridiplantae; Streptophyta; Bryopsida; Funariales; Funariaceae. The record is from RNAcentral.
AAUCCUAGAAAAAUCCUAAUCAAAUUCUAAAUAAAUCCUAAUCAAAUCCUAAUAAAAUCCUAAUCAAAUUCUAAUCAAAUUCUAAAUAAAUUCUAAUCAAAUCCUAAUAAAAUCCUAGUCAAAUCCUAAACAAAUCUUAAAUAAGUCCUAAUCAAAUCUUAGACAAAUUAUAGUCAAAUUCUAAUCAAAUCUUGAUCAAAUCCUAGUCAAAUCCUAAACAAAUCCUAACCAAAUCCUAAAUGAAUCCCAGUCAAACCUUAGACAAAUCCUAAAUAAGCCCUAACUAUGAGCUCCAAAUUCAUCACUCAUUAAAUUGAUGCCACAGAAUAAGUUCAAGAGGUGGAA